GGGAUUAUAGCUCAGUUGGUCAGAGCAUGCCUCUGAUAAUGGCAAGGUCGAUAGUUCAAAUCUAUCUAAUCCCA
Molecule: non-coding RNA, 74 nt
Organism: Candidatus Carsonella ruddii DC
Lineage: Bacteria; Pseudomonadati; Pseudomonadota; Gammaproteobacteria; Oceanospirillales; Halomonadaceae
Source: Rfam